Molecule: signal recognition particle RNA, 299 nt
Filed under: Microcebus murinus (gray mouse lemur)
Lineage: Eukaryota; Metazoa; Chordata; Mammalia; Primates; Cheirogaleidae
Description: Metazoan signal recognition particle RNA (ENSMICG00000046351.1)
Rfam family: Metazoan signal recognition particle RNA
About the family: The signal recognition particle (SRP) is a universally conserved ribonucleoprotein. It is involved in the co-translational targeting of proteins to membranes. The eukaryotic SRP consists of a 300-nucleotide 7S RNA and six proteins: SRPs 72, 68, 54, 19, 14, and 9.
Source: RNAcentral
GCCGGACGCGGUGGCGCGCGCCUGUAGUCCCAGCUACUUGGGAGGCUGAGAUGGGAGGAUCGCUUGAGCCCAGGAGUUCUGGGCUGUAGUGCGCUAUGCCGAUCGGGUGUCCACACUAAGUUCGGCAUCAAUAUGGUGACCUCCCGGGAGCGGGGGACCACCAGGUUGCCUAAGGAGGGGUGAACCGGCCCAGGUCGGAAACGGAGCAGGUCAAAACUCCCGUGCUGAUCAGUAGUGGGAUCACGCCUGUGAAUAGCCACUGCACUCCAGCCUGGGCAACAUAGCGAGACCCCGUCUCU